AACGAACGCUGGCGGCAGGCCUAACACAUGCAAGUCGAACGGCAGCACCGUAAGUGCUUGCUCUUACGGGUGGCGAGUGGGGGAAGGGUGAGGAAUGUAUCGGAAUCUUCUUUUUCGUGGGGGCUAACGUAGGGAAACUUACGCUAAUACAGCAUAUGACCUACGGGUGUAAGCAGGGGAUCUUCGGGCCUUGUGCGAUUGAAUGAGCCGAUGAAGGAUUAGCUUGUUGGCGGGGUAAAGGCCAAGCAAGGCCACGAUCGGAAGAUGGUCUGAGUGCAUGGUUAGCCACAUGGGAAGUGAGACAGGUCCCAGACGCCUGCGGUAGGCAGCAGUGGGGAAUAUUAGGCAAGGGGGGCGAGCCUGAUCCAGCCAGACCGCGUAGGGGAAGAAGGCGCUCUGGUUGGUAAGUCCUUAUGUUGGGAGAGAAAAGCAGCAGUUUUAUACGCCGCGGUACUGACGGUACCCAGAGAAUAAGCACCGGCUAACUUCGUG
Molecule: ribosomal RNA, 492 nt
Filed under: uncultured bacterium
Lineage: Bacteria
Description: partial 16S ribosomal RNA
Rfam family: Bacterial small subunit ribosomal RNA
Source: RNAcentral